This 352-nucleotide long non-coding RNA is filed under the name Sorghum bicolor (sorghum). RNAcentral describes it as "long non-coding RNA (SBIC_LNC015912)". The record is from RNAcentral. Lineage: Eukaryota; Viridiplantae; Streptophyta; Magnoliopsida; Poales; Poaceae.
CUAAAUAAGGGUUUAUUAAUAUUUUAUUCAAAUAUUAUCCAAAAGCCACCAACUUUUGUGUGGAGCUAGGGAAUAGUAUUCAGAGACUCCCCAAAAAGUUUGGUGAUUUUUGGGCAUACUAAUAAAUUACUAAAAUUCCUAGAAGUUUGAUUCAUUAAAUAAAAGAGGCAAUUUUUAAAUAUAUGCAAACCAUCAGAAAAUAAAAUCUACUAUUUUUCCUGUGCUCUACUCAUUUCAUAGAACUUAUACACAAAUUUGCAUCAUUUUUGGAUUAGCACACAAUUUUCUACACAAAUUCAAAUAUCAAGCAUUUUUAACUCGAAAAGGAAAAAGAAAACAAAAAACAGCCGGG